Molecule: ribosomal RNA, 275 nt
Filed under: uncultured Oscillospiraceae bacterium
Lineage: Bacteria; Bacillati; Bacillota; Clostridia; Eubacteriales; Oscillospiraceae
Description: partial 16S ribosomal RNA
Rfam family: Bacterial small subunit ribosomal RNA
Source: RNAcentral
ACGGAAAGAGCUUGCUCUUUUUCAGAAUUGAGUGGCAAACGGGUGAGUAACACGUAAACAACCUGCCUUCAGGAUGGGGACAACAGACGGAAACGACUGCUAAUACCGCAUAACACUUAUUUAGGGCAUCUUAAAUAAGUCAAAGAUUUAUUGCUGAGAGAUGGGCUCGCGUCUGAUUAGCUAGUUGGUGGGGUAACGGCCCACCAAGGCGACGAUCAGUAGCCGGACUGAGAGGUUGAACGGCCACAUUGGGACUGAGAUACGGCCCAGACUCC